Ipomoea nil (Japanese morning glory) is the source of this 824-nucleotide long non-coding RNA. RefSeq lists it as uncharacterized. The record is from RefSeq and is a predicted model, not a curated record. Lineage: Eukaryota; Viridiplantae; Streptophyta; Magnoliopsida; Solanales; Convolvulaceae. The transcript is spliced from 3 exons.
AAGUAAGUCCUCAUUUUAAGGUAAGUAGGUAACAACUAAAAACAAAUGAUAUAGAUCACAAUUCACAAAGCCAUGUAUGAAGUGAAAACAAUUAACAACAUUUAGUUCUUAUAAUCUUAUUUAUCAGCUCAGAUCAAAGAAAACAUUAUUAAUUGUGAAGAAAAAAUAUUUUAUUGUGACUAAGGCUUAGUUGAAAUGAGUUAGCUUGAUUCUUGAAGGAAAACAUACCAUGCAGUUGUGAUUGUUUUAACCCUAUACAUCUGAAUGGUGGAAAUUAGGAUUGGUUCUUACUCUGAAUAAACAAAGAAAUAGGGGAUGCAUUUUCAAACUCCUUAAAGGAACCUAAUAUGUCCUAAAAGUUACAAAGAGGGAAUAAAUUGGCAAACCUAACUUUUCAUUUAUUGGAGUAUGCUAUUUCCUCACAUCAGUUACAAUAAACUUAAUGGCCUAUUGCCCUAUUCUAUAAAUAAUAAAUAAAAACUCAAAGUAUUCAGUGUUUUUUUUUUCUUCUUUGUUUGAGAAGAUUGAAGAGUUGCUUGUGAUCAAAAGUCAAUAAACGGCCAUAAAUGCUCUUUGGAGGUGAAAACAAACAUGAAAACACUAAAAACAAUAUAGCUUGGCAAAAAUAAUUUGGUAUAUUGACAUUUAUAAUUUCAAAAAACUAUGUUAAAUCUUUUAAAUCCUGAAGGAACUACAUAGUGCAUAUCACAUAGUCAAGACAGACAAUCAAUAUUAAACGUUUAUUAUUUGUUCUAGACAUACGUAAUAUUUAAUGCAAUGCUAGACAAAUUAAGAAGUAUUCAAAAAAAAAAAAUGAAGAAGUA